This 293-nucleotide ribosomal RNA is filed under the name uncultured bacterium. RNAcentral describes it as "partial 16S ribosomal RNA". It matches the Rfam family "Bacterial small subunit ribosomal RNA", at positions 775 to 1067 of the family's 1533-position model. The record is from RNAcentral.
GGAUUAGAUACCCUGGUAGUCCACGCAGUAAACGAUGAUAACUAAAUGUCUGGAAUUUAUUCUGGGCGUUAAAGCUAACGCGUUAAGUUAUCCGCCUGGGGAGUACGGUCGCAAGACUAAAACUCAAAGGAAUUGACGGGGACCCGCACAAGCGGUGGAACAUGUGGUUUAAUUCGAUAAUCCGCGAAAAACCUUACCAGUCCUUGACAUCCCAAUCGUUGUUUUCAGAGAUGAAUUCAUCAGUUCGGCUGGAUUGGAGACAGGUGAUGCAUGGCUGUCGUCAGCUCGUGCCG